Molecule: long non-coding RNA, 669 nt
Filed under: Ananas comosus (pineapple)
Lineage: Eukaryota; Viridiplantae; Streptophyta; Magnoliopsida; Poales; Bromeliaceae
Description: long non-coding RNA (ACOM_LNC018434)
Source: RNAcentral
AAUACCAAUCAAAAAAAAAUGAUCAGUAAUAAUCUCCUGCAUGACAGAUCGUCCUUAGAGCAAGUGACAAAGAAUUUGAUGGUUGGUAUCCGAGACCCAAAUUCGAAUCCUAGUUGAUUUACAUUUUCAGCUAAGUUUAUUUCUAAAUAAAAUAAACGAAGCGGAUAGCGUGCUACCUAUUUCUAAAAAAAAAAAAAAUCUACUGCAUGCACGCAUCUCACCUCUGGCUCCUCGUACGUACUUUAUUUUAUUUUGUUUUAUUUUUCAAAGCCAUGUAAAUAAUGUAUAGGGUAAACUUCAAAUACCAUCUUUGUGGUUUCGUAGUUUCUCACUUUAGUAUUCCGUUGUUUAAACUGUAUCAAGUUAAUACCUCGUGGUUUAAUUUUUUUUUUCUUUUCGUCAAACUCCUCCAUUAAUAUUUCAUUAAAUUAUAUACAAAAAACUUCAGAUACCCUAUCUAAAUUUAUCGAAUAUUUACUUUAGUAUUUUUUUAAUUUUAAUUUUGUCUCUGAUUUAACAAAAAAAAUAAUAAAAUGGAUAAUAAAAAGAAAAAAAUAAAAUCAAGAUACUAAAUUGAUAUAUUUUAAACCAUAGGGUACUAAAAUGAGAAAGUGCGAAACUAUAUUGAUGGUAUUUGAAGUUUUUUCUAAUCUAUAAUAUGUUGUGUUU